GCUUCCCUCUUUCUUCGUGCCUAAUACAUGCAAGUCGAGCGAACAGACGAGGAGCUUGCUCCUCUGACGUUAGCGGCGGACGGGUGAGUAACACGUGGAUAACCUACCUAUAAGACUGGGAUAACUUCGGGAAACCGGAGCUAAUACCGGAUAAUAUAUUGAACCGCAUGGUUCAAUAGUGAAAGACGGUUUUGCUGUCACUUAUAGAUGGAUCCGCGCCGCAUUAGCUAGUUGGUAAGGUAACGGCUUACCAAGGCAACGAUGCGUAGCCGACCUGAGAGGGUGAUCGGCCACACUGGAACUGAGACACGGUCCAGACUCCUACGGGAGGCAGCAGUAGGGAAUCUUCCGCAAUGGGCGAAAGCCUGACGGAGCAACGCCGCGGGAGUGAUGAAGGUCUUCGGAUCGUAAAACUCUGUUAUUAGGGAAGAACAAAUGUGUAGUAACUAUGCACGUCUUGACGGUACCUAAUCAGAAAGCCACGGCUAGCUACGUG
Molecule: ribosomal RNA, 496 nt
Filed under: uncultured bacterium
Lineage: Bacteria
Description: partial 16S ribosomal RNA
Rfam family: Bacterial small subunit ribosomal RNA
Source: RNAcentral